AGUUAACGCUGGCGGUAGGCCUAACACAUGCAAGUCGAACGGCAGCACAGUAAGAGCUUGCUCUUACGGGUGGCGAGUGGCGGACGGGUGAGGAAUACAUCGGAAUCUACUUUUUCGUGGGGGAUAACGUAGGGAAACUUACGCUAAUACCGCAUACGACCUACGGGUGAAAGCAGGGGAUCUUCGGACCUUGCGCGAUUGAAUGAGCCGAUGUCGGAUUAGCUAGUUGGCGGGGUAAAGGCCCACCAAGGCGACGAUCCUGAGCUGGUCUGAGAGGAUGAUCAGCCAAAAUGGAGCUAGGACACGGUCCAAACUCCUACGGGAGGAAGCAGUGGGGAAUAUUGGACAAUGGGCGCAAGCCUGAUCCAGCAAUACCGCGUGGGUGAAGAAGGCCUUCGGGUUGUAAAGCCCUUUUGUUGGGAAAGAAAAGCGGCAGGUUAAUACCCCGCUGUUCUGACGGUACCCAAAGAAUAAGCACCGGCUAACUUCGU
This 491-nucleotide ribosomal RNA is filed under the name uncultured bacterium. RNAcentral's name for it is "partial 16S ribosomal RNA". It matches the Rfam family "Bacterial small subunit ribosomal RNA", at positions 29 to 506 of the family's 1533-position model. The record is from RNAcentral.